GCGCCCUCGCCUCCUUUCCCGAAUGUAUCGCGGCGGUUCUCUGCUCUUUCCCCUCCGUCCUGUCCUUUCACUUUCACCGGCGAACCCAGUGCGCCCGUGUGACAAAGCAGUCUAGUGCGGUGGAGACGCCCAGUGGACUGGCUGGGCUCUUGGCGGGCAGACGGUGGCGCGUGAGAUGUCAGUGCCGCCAGGGUGAGCUCUGCGGAGCCCUGCAGCCUAGUCACGCAGGUCCUGACCUCCCGGGUCUCAGUUUUCCCUUUGGUAAAAGAGGAAUCUUGAUGGUCUCUGUCUCGUGGUGGUGGUGUUUUGAGGAUCGAAGUGCUUAGGACAGUGCUUGGCAUACAGUAGCUGUCGUGAGUACUAAUUAGGCUUGCUUGGUGUCUUUUGGGGCCUGGCAGUAUUUGCAGUGGCACCGGGGCACACAUUUGGGUGAGUUUUUUUCUACCAGAGGCAGACUCCUGGAACAGGGAAGACGGAGUUAGUGUUGAUCCAGGCAUGCAUGUUGCAGGUUGAGUCUGGCAGGACUGGGAUUGUGGAAGGUAUGUUAGCUGGCAUUGUGGAGCUGGGAGGGCCUGUCAGCAGCUGGAAGUGGAGGUGAAGAAGCUGUUGAGCUGGAGAGAGGAAUGAGCCAGAAGGUUGGGAAGAAGGGUCCCAUGUCAGCAUUUUCAGAGCUGAACGGUUCUCAAUGAAUACAUCUCUGUGUGAUUGGUGAGGGGUGGUGAAACUGCUGCCUGGCUUCCCCUAGUCCCCCUGGCUUCCUUCUUCCUGCUCUUUCAAACAGAGAGGAAGGGAGAAAAACCAGAGGUUUCUAACCUGUUGUUUAGGUUUUGAACCUAAAGUUUCUACAGGGCUGAGGAGCACAGGUCAUGGAUAAGGAUAUAGACAAGGGACAUGUUCUAAGGACAGCCCUAGACCCAGGGAGGAUGGACUACCUGCUUUGAAUGCAGCAACCUUCCCCAAGAGAGGAAGGAUACUGGGGCAGAGAGGGGCCUCAUGGAGCACCAGAGAAGAAUCUACAACCUGAUUUUUCUGCUGCUGGGUCUUCAGUCCCACUGCAGCCCAGCUUCCUGGCUUAUGUGUGUGUUGGUGAAUUUGCUUGGGAAAUGACAGCAGGUCAUUGAGUUAUAGGAAGGGCAGUGCAUGCCAUCCUCAGCUGACUUCUUCUGUCCAAGGACUUUCCAAAUGGCCAGUGACUUGAGGGGGUACAAACUCUCUCCCACCUCCUCAGGACCAAUACAGAAUAGAUGUGGAGGCUGGUACAAUUAUAAGGAACUGGGAGGCCAGAGUAUGGGUUAAGAGUCUGGACACUGUAAUUAGACUCCCCAGUCCUCAUCCCCACUCUACCACUUCAAAGCUGGGCAACUCUGGGUAAGUCUACAUAGCUUUUCUGUGCCUCAGUUUCCUCAUCUGUGAAAUGGGGAUAAUAAUAGCUUUUGCUAUUAUAAGGGUUAAGUGAGCUAAAAUAUAUGUAAAAUGCUUAGAAUCUUGCCUCGUGCGUAGUGAAUGUUGCUUGAACUAUGAUCACAGGCUAUUAAAUGGAAUGGUGAAAUCUAAGGUGGAAGGAGAGACUGUAAAACAGGUGUCAGUCUUAAGUGGAUUAAGUAAUCAAGACAGUAGUAUAAACAGUGAGCUCUAUAACAAAGUCUCCAAGGAAAAGGGCUUUUUCUCCCACAAAGGAUAGAAAAUAAGUGGGCUGAACCGGUCCUAAGGAGCAAGGUCCCCUACCUACAGGGACAUGAGAAACUGAGCCCUUAGGAUUUCAUUUGUGUCAAGGUGGUGACAUUGUAUGAGGGGUUCAGGAAAUGUAGGGGCAACAGGAGGAGAGAGAGGGUGAUGGAAACGCUUACAUUUGGAGGGUUGGCUCUGUGUAUUAGUCAGAACUCUCACUUGCAAGGAGAAAUUCUGGAUCAAAAUGACUUAGACCAAAAAGAGAAUUAGUAAUUCAUAUUACCAGGAACUCUAGGGGCCUGAAGCUGUCACAAAAGGACCAACUCUAUUGUUUCAUUCUUAGGCAGGCUGUCUACUCUAUGUAAGACUGGCCCAGGCAGCGCCAGCCUUAGGCCCCUACUAGUUUAGGAUCUCUGCAAAAGAGCAUCCCUCUUCUUUGUUCUAGCAAAUGCCCCAGAGGCUGGCCUUCAUUUACUUAGGGUGUAGGGGAGGGAUUAAUUUUGCUUAAACCCUUGGGCUAUGUGUAGGGAAAAUCCAGGGGGUUACCAGCUAAAGGGGAGAUGGAUGCUGGACCAGCAAAAAUGAUAUUUUCACAUCAUCAAGAAGAACAGAAAUGAGUAGCAUGUGCGAUGAGUUUGCUUCGGGCUUCUGGGUCAGCUCAGUCUAAGGCUCCAUGUGGAACUAGGUCAGCUGUCUUUGUUUGGGUUACAAACUGGAUUUGAAGAAAAUGCAGCUGUAGGACUCCUGAAAGAAGUUCUUAUUGGAUCCCAGAUUUCUCUGAAUAUGGUUCUUGGCCACCUAAUACAAUAUAGCUGGGCGUUCUCGUGAUACUGCAGAUUCCUGGACCACGCCCAGGCAGACAUAUAGAAUCACCAUCUUUUGAGGUAGAGCCUUGAAAUCUGCAAUUUUUUACAAAAGCAUCCCAGGUGAUUAGGUACACUAAGAUUUGAUAAACUUUGCCAUGGGCUUUUCAGAGGGAGGCCAGCAUUAGUUAAGCUUGAAGACUGCAUCUAGCAAGAGAGUUGAGAUGAAGACACAAAAGAGUACAUGCUCGUGCUGGACGUUGGCCAGGCUCUUGGGCCUCCUCCACAUGGCCUUUCAUCUUUCAGUAGAUCAGACUGGGCUUCCUUACCUUCAGGUCUUGGGGCGGGGUUUGAAGAGGAAGAGAGCAGAAGCUAUGAGGCCUCUUGAGGCCUGAGUCUCCUAGUUGAAGCAGGAAGCAUUGCAUGAAUUUCCUUCAAACACUGACAAAACAGAAACUUGCGAAAACUCUAUUCUGCUAUGGCCCGGACUUUAGAAGAUAUUGUUUUGUGUACUGGUGAGGCCUGGAAAUUCUGCAGCCAUCUUGCUACCAGCCUGAGAUGAAGAACACGGAGAGAAAACAAGGGCAGAAAGUAUUAUGGUAAUUGCUGAGAAGUGGAACUGGGACCACUGGAUUAAGUUCCUGGAAGCUUGUCCUACAUCUGGACAUCCAGUUAUGUGCACCAAUUCAUUUUCAUUCGGCUUAGCAACUUCAAGUUGGGUGUUCUGGUAUUUGCAGCCAAAAACAACUGAACUGAAAAAAGGAUUCAUGACUGCGUGAAGCACUUUUCUCUCCUGAGGACAGAGCAAUCAGAUGCUCUGAGAAGGCACAACUUCCCCAGGCACGGAGCUAUUCUGAUCUCCGUGUGACAGUUUGGCUCCUGAAGGAAUCCACCAAGUCCUCACAUCCAGGGCUGGGGGUAGCCAGAGGUGAAAUCGUAAAGAAAGCUUUGAAGCCAAAUGCAAUGAUUAAUUGCUAACCAGAGUAACAGAGACAGAACUGGUCCCAACCUGGAGUAGAUACAUUCCUGGCUGCUGCUGCUAUCUCUUCUGCCUGGCUUUGGACUGAGUAUAAGUUCUCAGCCUCAUGUGUGAUGCACGUGGGAGCAGAUUGUAGACUUGUAAACUGUAUAGAAACCAUGCAGUGUGCGAGUUGUUAUUCUAUGUGUUAAAGACAAGAUAGAGAAUAAUGCAGACACAUUUUCUCCUUCCUCCAGGAUCAAUUUAUAGAUCAUGAAUGUGUUAGAUUUAAGCACAUGAUCUUUCUGCCUUCUAAACUGCUUUUCUAAGUAGAAAUAGAAAUGCAUUCCUGGUCUUAGUUGAAAUCUUAUGUGAUUUCACAGGUGAAUUUGGGUGCAGAGAGAGAGACAGAGAGACAGAGACAGAGACAGAGACAGAGGAGAGCACGCUCAAGCUUUAAGUCCUUGACAAGCCAUAAACCAAGCAAGUAAAGUCACAUCGAGACCUUGGCUGCUGAAAGUGAGAUGGAGAAGCCUUUGGUUUCCAGGGAAUUCUCUUGGAUUCUGACGUAUGGAUUGCUUUAUCGUUAAAAUGGAAGGCAGGAUUAAAACAACAAUGAAGAAAACUGAA
Microcebus murinus (gray mouse lemur) is the source of this 4059-nucleotide non-coding RNA. The record is from RefSeq and is a predicted model, not a curated record. NCBI's taxonomy places the organism in Eukaryota, Metazoa, Chordata, Mammalia, Primates, Cheirogaleidae.